Molecule: ribosomal RNA, 473 nt
Filed under: uncultured bacterium
Lineage: Bacteria
Description: bacterial SSU rRNA
Rfam family: Bacterial small subunit ribosomal RNA
Source: RNAcentral
GAACGCUGGCGGCGUGCCUAACACAUGCAAGUCGAGCGAUUCUCUUCGGAGAAGAGCGGCGGACGGGUGAGUAACGCGUGGGUAACCUGCCUCAUACACAUGGAUAACAUACCGAAAGGUAUGCUAAUACAGGAUAACAUAAGAGAUUCGCAUGUUUCUCUUAUCAAAGCUCCGGCGGUAUGAGAUGGACCCGCGUCUGAUUAGCUAGUUGGUAAGGUAAUGGCUUACCAAGGCGACGAUCAGUAGCCGACCUGAGAGGGUGAUCGGCCACAUUGGAACUGAGACACGGUCCAGACUCCUACGGGAGGCAGCAGUGGGGAAUAUUGCACAAUGGGCGAAAGCCUGAUGCAGCAACGCCGCGUGAGUGAUGAAGGCCUUCGGGUCGUAAAACUCUGUCCUCAAGGAAGAUAAUGACGGUACUUGAGGAGGAAGCCCCGGCUAACUACGUGCCAGCAGUCGCGGUAAUACGUAGG